This 374-nucleotide ribosomal RNA is filed under the name uncultured organism. RNAcentral describes it as "bacterial SSU rRNA". It matches the Rfam family "Bacterial small subunit ribosomal RNA", at positions 526 to 896 of the family's 1533-position model. The record is from RNAcentral.
CGGAGGGUGCAAACGUUAUCCGGAAUCACUGGGCGUAAAGAGCAUGUAGGUGGUUUAGUAAGUGGGCGAUUAAAGACCGUUGCUUAACAACGGGACUGUUUCCUAUACUGCUAGACUUGAGUGGGGCAGGGGCAAGCGGAACUUUAGGUGUAGGAGUGAAAUCCGUAGAUAUCUAAAGGAACACCAAUGGCGAAGGCAGCUUGCUGGGCCCUUACUGACACUGAGAUGCGAAAGCGUGGGGAGCGAACGGGAUUAGAUACCCCGGUAGUCCACGCUGUAAACGAUGCUGACUAGGUCUUGGGGAGUAUCGACCCUCCUUUGGACCGAAGCUAACGCGUUAAGUCAGCCGCCUGGGGAGUACGAACGCAAGUUUA